GGGUCCCUGCCGCGGGCUCUUCCUCUCUUAAGCUCUCUUUCUCCUCCGUGGGAAGAAGGAGAGAGCCAGUGGACGUCUCCCGAGCUUGCCGACCUCCCUUCGUGGGAGAAGAAAGAAGAAGAGAGAAAGGGGGGGGAAGGAGAAGAAGUCGGGAGAAGAGGAGGAGGAGAAAGAAAAAGAAAGAAGAAAGAAAGGGGGAAAGGAGGAAAAGAAGUCAGAGGAAGCUUCGGGAGAAGGAGAAAAGAAAAAGAAAAGGGAAGGGAAGGAAAGAAAAGAAAAGAAAAAGAAAAGAAAAAGAAAAUAAAAGAAAAGAAAAGCAAGAAAAAGAAAAGAAAAUAAAUAAAUAAAUAAAUAAAGGGAGAGGGUGGUUUACGGGUAUGAACCCGAAACCGAACCCGAACCCGAACCCGGGGCGCUAGACACUUCUGCAGGGUCGGCCCUGGGAGAAUGUUAAAAUUUAAGUUUUAUAAAUAUAUAUUGUGAUGAAUUUUAAAAGAAAAUAUGAUUUUUGGAUAUUAGGUUCUGCGAGAAAUUUGUGAGAUUAAUUGGAUUUACUGUGGAUCGCAUUCAAAGUAAGUAAUGAACUGCCUUUUUUUUAGACUAUUCAUUUAUAUAAUAUUAUUUUUGCAUUAAAUAAAUUGUUAAUGAAUUUAUAUGUGAUUUAUGAAUUUACAAAAUGAUGAUUUGAAUGAAAAAUGGAUAUGUGAAUUGGAAUAAUAUUUUUCGGACUAUUGUUAUAUUUACUGUUCUUGCAUCGUAUAUGCAUAUUUAGAUCGGAUUAUGAUAUAUCUAUUUUGUUACAAAAAGAAUUUUGAUGUGCAUUAGAUUUGGAACUCUCAGCCUGACUAUGUUCUGGAUCCUGCCAAUUGGGGGUUAUGCAUUGGUAAUUUCUGGCCCCACCACAGGGUAUAAGUGUGGUAUUCUGGCCCACUUCGCAGGGUAUAAGUGCGGUAUUCUGGCCCACUCUGCAGGGUAUAAGUGCGGUUCUGUUUCUGGCC
This 998-nucleotide long non-coding RNA is filed under the name Phoenix dactylifera (date palm). RNAcentral describes it as "long non-coding RNA (PDAC_LNC009826)". The record is from RNAcentral. Lineage: Eukaryota; Viridiplantae; Streptophyta; Magnoliopsida; Arecales; Arecaceae.